This is a small nuclear RNA of Polyodon spathula (Mississippi paddlefish), 117 nucleotides long. RefSeq annotates it as U5 spliceosomal RNA. The record is from RefSeq and is a predicted model, not a curated record. The transcript has a single exon. NCBI's taxonomy places the organism in Eukaryota, Metazoa, Chordata, Actinopteri, Acipenseriformes, Polyodontidae.
ACGCUCCGGCUUCUCUGCAGCUCGAAGAACCUUUCGCCUUUUGACUUUGAAUUUCCGUGGAGAGGAGCAUAUACGAGUUUAGAUCCAAUUUUGGGACACCCCUUCCCCUCAGGGAGG